This 496-nucleotide ribosomal RNA is filed under the name uncultured bacterium. RNAcentral's name for it is "partial 16S ribosomal RNA". It matches the Rfam family "Bacterial small subunit ribosomal RNA", at positions 28 to 506 of the family's 1533-position model. The record is from RNAcentral.
GAUGAACGCUGGCGGCGUGCCUAAUACAUGCAAGUCGAGCGAACAGAUGAGGAGCUUGCUCCUCUGACGUUAGCGGCGGACGGGUGAGUAACACGUGGAUAACCUACCUAUAAGACUGGGAUAACUUCGGGAAACCGGAGCUAAUACCGGAUAAUAUAUUGAACCGCAUGGUUCAAUAGUGAAAGACGGUUUUGCUGUCACUUAUAGAUGGAUCCGCGCCGCAUUAGCUAGUUGGUAAGGUAACGGCUUACCAAGGCAACGAUGCGUAGCCGACCUGAGAGGGUGAUCGGCCACACUGGAACUGAGACACGGUCCAGACGCCUACGGGAGGCAGCAGUAGGGAAUCUUCCGCAAUGGGCGAAAGCCUGACGGAGCAACGCCGCGUGAGUGAUGAAGGGCUUCGGAUCGUAAAACUCUGUUAUUAGGGAAGAACAAAUGUGUAAGUAACUAUGCACGUCUUGACGGUACCUAAUCAGAAAGCCACGGCUAACUACGU